UUUUCUGCACAAAAAGGGUUUUUAAAACAAAGAGAAAAUUUUCCUUAAAAGUUCUCUGAAAACUUCAGUUUUUCCGGGUUGGAUGUCUGAGCUGGUAUUCUGAUUUUGGGGAGAUAUUUUGAGUGUUGAUUCUGGGUCUUUCUCUGGUUUGGUUUUAGUGUUGCUGUUGGGUUUUGUUGGUUGUUCUUUCUUCAAAGUUCUGAUUAGUGUUCCAUCCUGUUUACUGCUUGUUUUUUGCUGCUACAAGGCCAAGCAACCUCAGGGCUGGAGUUUGAAAUGCUGACUUGUGAGAAACAACUCUAUAGCUGAUUUCUUGCAAGUUUGAAGCUUGGUUUGAAGGAUCUGGUGGCAGUGGAAAAACCUGAAGUUAGGAGAAAUUUUGCUUUUGUUUACUUUAAAAAUAAAUUCUUCUUUUUUUUAGAUGUUAGUUAUAUUUAGGAGUAUGCUGUAAAUUCAUGGACAUUCAGUAGUAAAAUAGACUGUUGGAGUGA
Nicotiana tabacum (common tobacco) is the source of this 491-nucleotide non-coding RNA. Lineage: Eukaryota; Viridiplantae; Streptophyta; Magnoliopsida; Solanales; Solanaceae. The record is from RefSeq and is a predicted model, not a curated record.